This 43008-nucleotide long non-coding RNA is filed under the name Marmota monax (woodchuck). Lineage: Eukaryota; Metazoa; Chordata; Mammalia; Rodentia; Sciuridae. The record is from RNAcentral.
UCAGGUAUGUUUGCUAAGCCUUGGCAUUUCUCUGACAAUGCCAUUGCUUUUACUGAUGGACCUGGUUGCUAUUUGUUUUACUGUUGAUUUCUUGGAUUCUCCCCAAAAUGGUACCCAGAGCUCUUAGACAGUCACCAUCAGUGAUUAGUCACCAUCAGUCUAGUUUUAGUUCUCACUGAUUCUUCCUUAGCAAUCAGACCUUUAAGCUCUGCCUCACCCCCCAGCCAUAUGGACCUGGAACUGGGAAACUGGGCUGUAGUCAUGGAGAUCCUAACCAUUUGUGGUGGUGAAAAUUCCUGGGGAUGCAUUUUGUAGAAGAGUUCUAAUCAUUCUCUUUGUUAGAAAAUGUGCAUACAGCAACAAGUAUUUGCAAGGGAUCCUUUGGUUCUCUGGUCUACCUGUAUCCCAAUCUCUCUUCUCAUUCUGCUUUCCACUUGUACUAACUUCAGCAAAGGAGACUGACACAUGUAUGAUGUCAAAGGCUUGUGGUUAUUUGCUCUUGACUAUUUUGGAGUACCAGAUGAAGGCAAAAAGGAUGACUGAGCAAGGACUUAAUCUUAUUUCCUCUCUGCUUCCAGAACUACCAGAUUAGUUUGAGGAGUAUCCUUUUCUUGUAUAAUCUGGUUGAAGAUUGAAAGUAGCUAACACCCUCCAAGAUUCUGACAUUCUUUUCCUUAUUCCCUAAAACCCUAUACUUGAUACUUACAUGAUUUGAGUUCUAAGACACAUUAAGCAUCUUCCAAUGGGCGUAUUUGCUGUCAAGCAAUAGGUUUUGCCUUUUUUCCUAGCCUUGAAUGGAAAAUUCUCCACCUCACUUCAGCUCAGCCAAUAUCACAUUUUAAGGUCUGUUGUUUAUGAUACUCCACUUUUGGGCAUCAAAUAUUUUAUUAGUUAAAGUUUACUUUGGUACACAUUAUAGAAAUGUGUACCAAUGGCUUAAAUAGAAGGAACUUAAGGAAUUUGGCUUCCACAGUUAAGUCAGAAAUAUAGUUGUCUUCAAGCAUGUUAAUUAUAAAAGUUCAGUGUUGAGACCAGGACACAGGAUAGGUAGCUAUUUAUCAAGCAAAAGGAAAUGGAUACAUAACACUUCCCAUCACCCUGUUGCUAACAGCCUCCAGGAGAGGGGAAAGAUUGCACUUUCCAAUAUAAGCAAUCACCCCCUGUGUCUCUCUUCCUUGGUUACUUUUGGUCAUGUAGGCUGCCGCAGUGUGGCUGGGCAAAAUAACCGGGGGUGGGGGGUGGGGUGACAAGCAACUUGUGAAGGUUGAAACAGCGGGAGCCCUUUAUUGUAGGACAGCAGAGGUAUUUAUACCUAACUCAUUAUACACAGCUUGUUUCUAUUAACAUCAUCUAGAUACAUCAAUUAGUCAUUAAGGAAUCCUCAUCAUCUUAAUAAUUACACACAGCUUAACUUAAUUAUCAUCUAGAUACAGCAGUCAGUCAUUAAGGAAUCUCCAUCAUCUUAAUGGCUCGCUGGCGUUACUUCUCAAACCACUCCUCCUGGCAAAGUGCCAGGCGCCAUCUUGACUUGUCUGUGGCCCUCAACAGUAGGCAUGAAAAGAAACCUAAGAUCUAUAAAGGGGCAGGACGCCCCUGCUCACUAGGGCACCAGCUUUGGGGCCCCCUCCUCUCUGAAAGAAAAUCAAUCUCAAUCUCUCUCUCAUGCUUUAUCUCAAGCACUUUCCUAUGCAAUAAAAGUGCUUUAUGCUUACUUCCUGUUUUCACACAGAGUAUUUAAAAUAGGUACACUCAUUGAAAUUUAAAUAACUUUUUUACUCCUUCAUCAUCAAAGACAUUCUUAAAUGAGGUUUGCACUUUGUCUUUUCCCUGCAAGUGCAUGGCAGUGAAGGAUAUAGCUAUAGGUACAGUUUAGCCCCACUUCCUUGACUUAUGCUAAGACACCAGCAGCUUUUUUGUGUCAUUAAUAUAAAUAUCAACAUAGUGAACAAAGGCAAAUAACAUCUCAGUAUUUUAAAGAAAAUAAUUUUGACCACACAAUCCCUCUGAAAGAUUCUCAGAGACCCACAAAAAUCUGAAGAUCACACUUUGAGAACCACAGCCUUAUUUCCUAAGAAUGGAAAUAAAGAUAUUUUAUUAGGAUUCACAAUAAAAAGACCCAGGAGUAUGAGUUGCUACUUUGGCUUGUCCACUGAUUUUUUUUUCUCAAAUUUAUUAUUUGUUCUUUUUAGCUAUACAUGACAUUAGAAUGUUUUUUGACAUAUACUUACAUGGAAUAUAGCUUCCAUUCUUGUGGUUGUACAUGAUGUGUAGUUACACUGGUCAUGUAUUCAUAUAUGAACAUGGGAAAGUUAUGUCCUUUUCAUUAUACUGUCUUUCUUGUUCACUGAUUUUUAAUCUGUCAUUUUUGUCAUUGUAAUACUUCAUCUCAAGCAACUUUGAAAUGCUCGUUCUAAAUUUUCCUUGAGAAAUGAAGAAAGAAAGUCAAUUUAAUGGAAAUAGUUAAGGCAUAAAAUAUUGAUUCUUAGAAAAUCUGUGUGUUUGAUAAAUUCUAAAAUUGUCUUAUUUAUUUAUUUAUUUAUUUAUUUAUUUUUGGUAUUAGAGAUAGAACUCAGGGACACUCAGUCACUGAGCCACAUCCUCAGCACUAUUUUUUGUAUUUUAUUUAGAGGCAGGUUCUCAUGAGCUGCUAAGCACCUUGCUGUUGCUGAGACUGGCUUUGACCUCACAAUUCUCCUGUCUCAGCCUCUGGAGCUGCUGGGAUUACAGGUGUGUGCCACUGUACCCAGCUAAAAUGUUUUAUUGUUUAAGAAAUUUAAUUUUGAGGAAUAAUAUUAAUAUUUUGAUAUUUAGUUUUUAUGCUAUAGUAUAUAAAAUUUUAAUUUCUAUGAAAUGACUCUUUAUAAAUAUUUGUAACUUAAUUUUCAUACUUAUAAAAUAUUUAUUGAAUCAUAUACUGAUUAGUUUUUAGAAAUAGAGAAAUCUAAAGUUGGAUUUCGACCAUACCAUUUGCCAGCCAAUUGAGCAUGGAUUUUUAAUGUCCUUGAGCCUCAGUUUCCUCAUUUAUAGAAAACCGGGGCUAUUUUAUAUGAAUAGUAUAAUGGCAUAAUAAGUGUGAAACAGUGUUUUGCUGGCCACAUAGAAGGCACUCAAUAAAUGCUCACUUUCUUUCUUCCAUUCAUUUACUGUCCCUGUUCAUACUUAACAAGAGUGACAAGCACUGGACUGCAGUCUCACAUAGUAGAGGGAGUGUUGAUCUUUCUCCAUUUACUUCUAACUGAACACCCAAGCUGCUGUGAACCAUGCUUGGGGAGCAGACUUGUUUUGAAGCAGAUUAAGAUUCAGAUUAUAAUUGGGGACUUUUCUGUAGGAGUAGGAUCUUUCUAGAGAUACCUCAAAUAGAACAACUUUUGUUGCUAUCUUUUUGAUGUAAUUUUUUUCUGAUGAAAAGAUAUGAAAAAUGUGGAAGGGAAUUAAGAGUAAAAACAAGAAAGAAGAGUGAUAUGGUGGGGAGUUUUGUCAUUGUUGUUUUUCAGGUUUCAGGUUUUAUUUUUUUAAUACCAUAAGCUUUUUUUUCUAAUAGCUAAUACUGUUUUUCCUCAAAGAACAGCAUCAUAUAAUUAUAACAUGAAAACUGAAGCAUUAUUUGAACAUCCUAAAAAUCGUAUUAUCUUUACUAUUAUAAAUUUAAAAAUAAGAGAGCACCAAUGCCCCUAUAUCAUGAAGAGUUAGAAACUAGAAUUAUAGAAUUUUAUUUCUCACUGCUUAAACUCAUGAGUAAUGUUGCCGUCACAAGAGCAUUCCUACAGUAGUAGGUUCUACCUUAAUAAUACUUGGCAGCUCUCGACUCCUUUUACUGCUGAAUAUAUAAACAAAAUGUUAGAAGAAGUCAUCACAGUCUGAGGCAAAAAGAAUUGUUAAGCACUCGAUCAAUUUUUUUUUUUAAAUAACAAGCCAAAGAGCACCCAGAAUGACUUAUUUAGCAGCCAGAAAGUGUUUUUUAUUGAACAACUGUAAAAUAUACUGGGAGGUGCUGGUAUAGCUGUUAAGGGUAAUAGUUAAAAUAGUUAAAAAGGCACAUAGCUAAAUGGAAUAAGAUGGACAUCAUAUACAAACACAUACACAUAUACAUAUACAAACAGAGAACUUGUGGGAAAUAUAUGUAUGUGUGUCUGUGUGUAUGAAUACACAUGUAUAUACACAUAUAUAUACACAUAUAUAUACAUACAUACACAAAUAUAUACAUAUGUGUUUGUAAAAUAUAUAUAUUUAUAUGUAUAUAUAUGUAAUACACAGAGAUGGGGGGGAGAGAGAGAGAGAACUAUAGGAAAUUGCCAAUCUAAUUUCCCUUUCUUUGGGAGUUUUCUAAACUUUAACUUUAUUCAGCUCUGGUUUAAAAUGCAUAAAUAAAUUUAAAAGUUAAAUAGUAUAAAUUAAAAUAGACUGGUAAUCUGAUUUGAAAAGAUGACUUGCCAAACAGUUUCGGGAGGCCUGCGUUCUAGUCCUAAUUUUCACUCAAAAAAAUUUGUAAAUUUACUGUUUGGUACUGAAUGUUUGUGUAUCCCCAAAAUUCAUAUUGAAGCCCCAACCCUAAUGUGAUUAUAUUUGGGCCUUUGGGAGGUAAUUAACUUUAGACAAAUUUAUAAGGCCAGAUUCUCAUGUUGGAAUUAGUGUCCCUGUAAGAACAGGAAGAAACAGAAACUCACUUUCUCUCCCCCAUAUGUGGACACAACAAAGUGACCAUCUUCAACCAAGAAGCACAUCCUCACAAAAACCUGACCAUACUGGCACCUUGAUCUUGGACUUCCAACUUGCAAAAGCAUGAAACAUAAAUUUCUGUUGGUUAAGCCAGCUAGUGUAAGUUAUUUGUUCGUGGCGGUAUGGGCUGAUUAAUAAUACUCAUUCAAAUCUCCUUGAAAGGAAAUCGAGGCACCAGGAGAUGGUCGAGUGAAAAAUGAAAGACUGAGACCAGGCAGAGAUACACAUAAGAGUUUAUUUGUCAGAGAUGACAAAUAAAGGCACAUCUCUCCAUAGAUGCAGAGAGGCAAAACAGGCUUGGGGUUCAGGACUUUUAUGGGGCAGGCUCAGAGAUUAUGCAGGUGGUUAAGGGUGGGGUUGGCAUGAGGGAGUGGUGAUAUGCCUUUGGGCAGGAAAGAAUGCAGGCAGUGAAAGGUUGGGCUGGUAUGAGGGAGUGUGAGCCUUUUUCAGAUAUGCCCUUGUGUGGGAAAGGGAAAUGGCAGUUGUCACUUAAGAUGGCGGUCCAGAUGCUAAGCAAGGACCUUACACACCUAACUUAUUUUAGCCUCAGUUCUAUAAUUUAUAAAAAUAACAGGAUCCUAUUAAAUAAUUUUUUAGGUUGAUUCUUGUGCUGGAAUUUGAAUUGCAGUGUACUCUGAUAGUUUAAUUGUGGUGGGGAGAACUUGAGACUGUUUGAAAUUUUGAGUAUUUCUAAAGCAUUGCAUGUAAAAACAUGAAGAAGGCACAAUAAAUUUCUUUGCUAUUUUAUACUGGAACUUGGAAUACAGCUUGAAGUAGUCUUUACUUUGGAUUCAUAAUGUCACUGUCUCUGUGAGAUUCAGCAUUUUUUAUUGAAAAUGAGAAUUGUCUCUCAUCUUGCAAAGAUGUUAUUUGAAAUUGUCAUUUUGUCUAUUAUUUGGAUUCCUUUAAUGGAUAACAUUUAUACUCAGUUUUACUGCUUAUCUUUUCUCUUUAAAGCUAAUCUAAUAUAUUCUCAUUUUAUUAGUGGAAACCCUAUUAGUUUAUCUCUAAACUAUCACAAAAAAGUAAAUAUUUUUAAAUAUUGAAUUCCUUAACCACAUUGAUAUUCCAAAAUAAAAAGGCUCAAAGAAUUCCUAAUUUAAAGGGAUUAGAGAAAUUUGAAUUUUGAUCUAUUUAACUCUCACUUGUAUCAUUUACUUACAACACUUUCAUCAACACUUGAAUAACAUUUCACCACAGGUACAAACCUGGCAGAAAAGAAUUCCAAGUUUCUACAACAAUUGAAGUUUAUCAGUUAUCAUGCUGUGCUUAUAAAUAUUUUGUUGGCUUAAAACCCCAGAAUAUUUAAUUGUUAUUUUCAUCUGUUUGCAAAGAACUAGCUGCUUUUAAAACUUCAAUCCAGAUAAUGUGGAAGUAUCAACAGCUUCUAGUUGGUUUUAUUGAAAUCAGUUCAUCAGUACAACAGCUCUUUUUUAUUAACUACUAUUUUAAUGUCUUAUGCUAUGCUAGUGAAGAGCUGCCUAUUAUUGACAGUAAAAGUACUCAUCAUGUUAUAAUACAGAUUCUUGUAUGGCUGUAUUUAUCAAUUCUAAUAGCAUUAAAGUAACAUAUUAGAACUAGAAAAAUAACCACCCAUAAUCCAAUCAUUUAUUGUUUCAGAGUUCCAAGGGUAAUAUGUUCCAAAAGACCCUCACCCACUUAGCUCCUUCCUUAUGAAACCUACAAUGAGGAAGAUCCAUUUGACAUACAUAACAUUAAUAACAUACAUGUGAGCAUGAGGGAACACACUAUAUCAGUCUUUAAGGGUUUUGAAAUCUUGAAGGUCUUAAAAUCUGAUUGGCCCUUUGAGGUCAUUCAAAUUAUGCUAAGCAAGUUUUUAUUCUCUCAAAAUUUAUAAGGCUAGCCAAAAUUUAUUUUUCUUGCCAUAAAGAAUAACCAAAAUUUAUUUUUCUUGCCAUAAAGGAAAACUGGUGUGGGAAUCGGCCAAAAUAGAUUUCUGCUACAAAACUUCCAUUUCUUAUAUAUUUGAGGCUCGCUUAGAAAAUAUACUAUAAUUAUCAUUUUUCACAUAUAUAUGAAAAUGAUAAUAAUACUAAUUAUACUAAUAAUAUGAACAAUAAUUAUGAACACUAUAUUGAGUAGAAGUGUAUUUAUUAUGCCAUUAUAAUUUCUUAUUUUAUAGUUUGCUUCAAAAAUAUUUAUCAUCUGAAAUAACAAAUAAAUUAUAUUAAAUGUGGAAGAUAAUUAUCCCAAGAUGAAAAUUAAUGUAAACCAUCUAUUAUAAGAGAGGUAACAGAAAAUAAUACAAAAUAAUUCAGAAUCCUGCAUAACUUCUUCUUUAUUUCCAUCAGCUUUAUUCAAAGGUAAUAUAUACAUGACAAGUGUUUCUGUCCUGUUUAGAAGAUAGGAAAACCGAGACAAAAAUAUUUAAAUAAAUUACUCUAGAAAAAAAUGUAAGUGAUUCUCAUGAAGAUCGUGUUCAUAGUUUAGUUCAUACAGGUCCUUGUGCAUGUUUAUCAUUUAUCUUUGAGGAUUAUUCAAAUAGUACCAUGAAAAGAUAAACCCAUAUUAUUUGGUAAGUAAUGGUUUCCUUAAUAAAUUUCUAAUGCAAAACAAAAGUAGUUCUUCCAAAUUUCCAAUUUUAAAUGAUAUGAAAGAAGACCUGAUGUCAUGGAGUUCUGACGGUUUUUUUAAUUGGCAUGUGCAACUGUAAGAAUGGUUAAAAUUAGGGAAAAUUCAAAUUGACUUCUGAUUAUAUUCUCACCUGUUGUAUAUUAUAAGAACAAUUUUUAUGGUCUAUGGAGAACUGAGCUACAGGUAUCUGACAUCGGUACAUGAGAGCUAAACUCAGGGAGGCCCAGAGCUAACAGGAAGUAGAGAGUCACUGAGUCAUGUCAUGGGAAUUCCUGGCUAGUGAGCUUUGAUAACAUUCAGAUAGACCACACUGCUGAUUUUGGAAGAUUUGUUGUGGGAACCCUACGUAUUUACUGUGUUUAAAUAGUCUGGGCUAUUUAUUUCUUUUUAUUUUUCUUUUCUUUUUAUGCCAUAGCAGAGAAAACCUUGGCAUCGUGGUCUCUAUAGAAAAUAUUGUGUAAGCUCUCUGCUUGGCAGUUGUCCUAAGUGAUCAACUGCUCACUCUUGUAUAGGAGGCAGAACCAUAGCAGAAGGGUGUGGCAAAGGAAAGCAGCUCAAAACUUGGCAAGAGGAAGGAGAGAUCUCUGCUCACCAGGGACAAAUUAUAUACUCCAAAGGCACACUUCUAAGCACCUACCUCCUUAAGCCACACCUUACCUGUAUACAGUUCCCAACCAGUUAAUCCCUAUCACUUUAUUUUAAUUCACUGAUUAGGUUAAGGCUAUUCUAACCCAAAUAUUUCACCUCUGAACUUCCUUGCAUUGUCUCACACAUGAGGUUUUGGGAGACACUUUAUAUCUGACUAUAACCGCAGGUAAAAUAUAUAGUAUGCUCAAUGGCAAUAACUGCAUUGGGCGAAAAAAUAAAGCCAGAAAGAGGGGUAGUGAGUUGGUGCAGGUGGGGAUAUGCAGUUGCAAAGCAAGCAGUUGGUGAAUGCUGCACUGAGAAGAUGCGUUUAGAAUUGGUAUUCCAGAAUCCUAGCUCUUUCUGCCCUCUGUUAUAAAAGGACAUUUGAGGUGAACAGCUAACCCUGGGUAGUUCAAUAUCUUGAUGAGUACAUUGUCCCCCACAGUAGUUCUGCCUUUUUGGGUUUACUACUCUGUCUGCUGAGGAACUGACAACAAGUCAUUCAGGGUCACAUUGAGGAGGGCAUUAAUAUGGCACCACUUUAUUGAUUCUCUCAUUGCCCUUUUUCACUAAAUCUCACCUUUGAUCUUGAAUGCCUCCAGCCACUGGGCAUUUUCUGUGAGUACACAACUGUAAAUUUGAGGGCUGAAGUGUUAGAAUCCUAGAUUUGGUUUUCUUAACUUAAUUUUUUUCCUUAUUUUCCUCUUUUGAAUAUACAACGUUUUAUAACAGUUGGUAUAGGAGACAAUUUUUUUAAAAAAUUAAUAAGCUUUAAUUUUUAGAGUAACUUAAAUUUGUAGAAAAAUUGAACAAAAAAACAUAGUUUCCAAAUAAUCUCCACUCCCACUCCCUCACUCACAGUGUCACCUAUUAUUAACAUCUUACUUUAGUAUGGUACAUUUGCUAUAAUUGAUGAACCAAUAUGAUACAUUUUUUAUUAAUAAAAAAUCAUUAUUAAUAUUAGCAUUCACAACUGUUUUAAUGUCCUAUGGGUUUAGACAAAUGCUUAUGCACUUUAUGGAUCAUAUAAUAACAAUUCCUUGUUCAUUCUGGGACCUGGGUGAGGGACUGAGGCUUGAUGAGUGUACAUCCAGAGUAAGGAGGUGUGUCCAUGUCUGAGGGGUGGUUCCCUAAGGAGGUUCUGCUUGCAAUAAUUGACUUGUGGUUCAUAAAGUUCAAGUGAUGGUGAUGAGCUUUUCAGAUGUCCCAACCCUGACCACACACUAAAUGCUGAUUCUCUCUGAGAGAUGUGAUCUGACUGUAAGUACCUGUGUCCCAAACAUCAUAAAACCUUAUUCAACAGAACAGAGAUAUCUGAGAAUAUCUAUGCAAUGAGAUGCCUGAUCCUUUGGUGGACCAUAUUUGGAGCAAGUGAGUAGAAUCACAGGGCACUGAAACUUUGAGUGCUCUUGGGCAACUUAACCUCUUUGAGCCUCAGCAUUUCCAAUUUAAAAAGGCAUAAGGAUACUAAAUUCAUAAUUAAUGAGAUAAACUCUAUGAAGGAACUAGAUCACUCAGUAAAUAGUAGCUGUAGUGUUAUACUAUUAUCCAACUUUUUUUUAAUUGGUUGUUCAAAACAUUACAAAGCUUAUGAUAUAUCAUCUUUCAUACAUUUGACUCAAUUGGGUUAUGAACUCCCAUUUUUACCCCAAAUACAAAUUGCAGAAUCACAUCGGUUACACACUCACAUUUUUACAUAAUGGCAUAUUAGUGACUGUUGUAUUCUGCUACCUUUCCUUUCCCCUACUAUCCCCCCUCCCCUCCCCUCCCAUCAUCCCUCUCUACUUCAUCUGCUGUAUCCAACUUUUCUUAUUGCCCCAUCUAAAGGAGCUCUUGUGUUGAGGUUUCUCAAAAGAAUCCCCUAGUAUAAUGGUGCCAAACUUUAUUCCUCAUCACAUUUGGGGGUAUAAUGGAAAGAGUGUGUUAGAUUCCAACUUUCUAUUUUAUUAUUUAUAAAAACAGAUGGCACCCAGUUUAAUUGAUUCUAACUUCUAAAUAUUAAUUUUUAUUUAAAGUUUACUGUAGUACAGAUGGUAAAUAUACUGUAGCAAGUAUGAAAUUUGAGAAGUUUGCAUAUAAUUAAAAAAGAUAAAGUGAGAUUGGGAAAAGUUUCCGUGGCAGGGCAAGGCAAGCAAUUCCUUGAGGGGAAGAUCUUAUAUGUUGAAAAGGAUAAGGGUAUUGCAGAAGACCAAGGUUAAUCAUGAAACCUCACACCAGAUUCUCACAUCCUCAGCCCUGAGUCUUGAGAAUUUCUCUCUCCCUUUUGGAGCCUUUACCUUGAAUAAACAUUGGAAAAUUGUACUCCUUUCUUUUCUAUUACAGACUACUUGAAAUAUAUAUUGAUAUCUUCUGUAUAUAUAAGGCAUGUAGCUAAAGUAACCUUAAAUAUUUUUAACAUUUGGAUUAUUUUCUAUGUAUAUAUGUGAAAUGAUAAUUAUAUAAGUUGGAUAAGUAGAGCCCAAAGACAUUGAAAAAGCAUAUCUGUUAUACAUAUGUUGCUAAUAACAACAAAAUUAACAAUAUUAGCUGCAACAACAACUACAUCAACAGCCUCAGCAGUUGCUAAGCUUUUUCUUACUUUGUGCAAGGAGAAUGCUGAGAGUUUUACUUGGAUUAUCUCAUUUAAUUUCCACAACAAGUCUACAACACAAGGACUAUGGAUGUCUACAUUUCCCAGAUGAAGAAACNAUUGCAUUUUCAGUUUACCAAGUAGGAGUUUUGGGGAAAAUUAGGCUUAAUUUGUAAAAUCUCUCAUAAUAAUUGAUUUUAAAUAAUGGAGAUCAGUUACUCCCUAUGUGAAUCUGCCAUUUUCUAUUUCCUGAAUUGCAAUGGUUUGCUUAUUCUUUCAUCUUUGAUAAUUAUUUAUCAAUAUUUAUAAUGUUUAUUUUUAAUUUUAUUCAAUUAUGUAUUUGCCAAUAAUUAUAAUUAUUAAACUCACAAGAAAUUCUUAGCACUUAGAGAUAUGGUACUCCAAGAAAAUUUUGAAAAUUAAAAAUCUACAUUUGUAGACUUAUUUUUGUUACAUAAAUAUGAAUAGGUGAUCUGUAAAAUGCUUUAUUGAUAUCCUUUACUUUAGGAUAAAAUUCUAAUGAGCAAGUAGAACUGAUUUUAAGGAAAAAAAAGGAAUACAACAGUUGUCCUUCCUUACUCUGGGGUACAUUCCAAGAUUCCCAGUAGAUACUUGAAACUGUGAAUAGUACUGAAACCUAUGCAUGCUAUGUUUUUUCCUUUACAUACAUACCUCUGAUAAAGUUUAACUUAAAAAUUUUUGUAUAAUUUAUUUAGGGAAGACAGGAUUGGCGCUUGAUUCUUUUUAUUUACUAUUUUUCAAAAUAAUUACUUUGUCCACUAGCAUUUUCCAAUGGUGUUACUGGGAAUUGUUUCAACAUAUUUGUAUAAUUUAAUCCACUGUUGUAAAUAUGUUGUUUUCCUUAAAUGUUUCCCUAUUUGGUCAAUGGAGGCCUCUUGAAGUUGGCUGCUGGUUCUUUUGUCAUAAAUAUUUUUCAUAGCUUCCUGCAGGAUUUCAAGUAUGCUAAGACUCUUCAGGUUUAUCAUAAACAUUGUCUACUUCAGACUUGAAAUAAGCCAUUUCUCUAAGGAAGUAUUUUAGUCAGCUUUUCUGCUGCUGUGACCAAAUGACCUGACCAUUACAACUGAAGUGGAGGAAGAGUUUAUUUGAGGCUCACAGUUUCAGAGGUCUCAAUACAUCGACAGCCAGCUCCAUUCCCCGAGGCUUGAAGUGAGGUAGAACAUCAUGGCAGAAGACUGUGGCAGAAGGAAGCAGCUCACAUCAUGAUCAGAAAGCAGAGAGACACUCCACUCACCAGAUAUAAAUAUAUACUCAAAGCCAUGCCCCAAUUUCCACCUCCUCCAACCACACCUUACCGCUUCAGUUACCACUCAGUUAAUCCCUAUUGAGGGAUGAAGUCACUGAUUGGGUUAAGAUUCUUGCAAUCCAGUCAUUUCUCCUCUGAAACUUCUUGGAUUGUCUCAUGUGAACUUUGGGGGACCCCUCACAUCCAAACCAUAACAGAAAGUCUCUUCCUUUUUAGUAAAAAUAUGGAAUUUGAAAAAUCACAAAUUAUUACUUUUAUUAGUACUAGGCUAGUCAUUGUUCCUAAAUCUUUGCUGUGGAUAGGUAUAAGAAAUAUAUAUCUGUGUAUAAAUGUAUUUAAAGAAAAAAUAAUAAUAAGUUCCUAUUCUUGAUUUCAAUUUAAAUUCAGUACUAUAGGAUUUCUACUUUUCUGCUUUGAUUUUCUGUAUUCUCUUUUCCCAUAGCAAGAAUCCUGGUUCUGAAAAACACUGUAAAUGAUAUAAUAUCAUGCAGUAGUCAUUCGUCUUAUUCCAUAGUCUAUACAAAUGAUUUCAGAAUUGAUAAUUCCAAUACUACUACUUUCUAUGUUAUAUUAGUACUGGAACUAGUUAAUAUUCUUUUUUUUAAAUUUUUAUUGUUGGUUGUUCAAAACAUUUCAUAGUUCUUGAUAUAUCAUAUUUCACACUUUGAUUCAAGUGGGUUAUGAACUCCCAUUUUUACCCCAUAUACAGAUUGCAGAAUCACAUCAGUUACACAUCCAUCGAUUUACAUAUUGCCAUACUAGUGUCUGUUGUAUUCUGCUGCCUUUCCUAUCCUCUACUAUCCCCCCUCCCCUCCCCUGCCCUCCCCUCUUCUCUCUCUAAGGAACUAGUUAAUAUUCAUUCUUGCUAAUUGUUUAGCUAGUUCCUCUCUGCAUGGUUAUAUCUGUUUAACCUAUAUACAACACGAAGUAAAACAAAUAAAUAAUAAAAACAAUCUAAAGAAAAAAUAAUCUCGACUUAAGUCGACCAGUAUAGGUAUACAUAGUAGUUGGGUUCAUUUUGACAAAGUCAUACAUGCAUGGGAGCUUGAUUAACUCCAUUUAAGUCCUUUUUUUUUCUCUAACUUUUCCUCCCUUCUUCCCUUUAUCUAUUCUCCUCCUUGUACUGAUCUUCCUUUUUGCUCAUUUAUUUAUUUCUAAUGGUACUUUUUACAUAUACAUUCAAGUGGAAUUCUCUGUGGUAUGUUUAUAUAUGUACAUAGCAUGGUAUUGUUAAAUUCAUUAUGUAUAUCCUCACCUUUCCCAUUCCUCCUCCCUUCCUCUUGCUCUUUUUCUACUCCACUGAUCUUCUCCAUAUCUUUAUGAUAUCCAUCCCCCCACCACUGGCUUUUAUUCCUCAUUUUGCUACAGCUUCCAUAUAUGAGAGAAAAUAUUUAACUCUUGAUUUUCUGAGUCUUGUUUAUUUCACUUAGCAGGAUGUUAUCCAUUCUCAUCCAUUUGCUAGCAAAUGCCACAUAUAUUUCUUUUUUAAAUGUUUGAUAAUGUCCUAUAAUUCUGUAGGAUAUUAACUUAAAAACGGAAUGUAAUGGAGUCCUAGUUUCUAUUCCUGUCCUUUUUACUCUAUUUUCUUCCUCCCUUAAUAGAUAACCUUUUUUAAAUUUUUCUUUAUUUUUGUACUGGGAUUUAAACCCAGGGUCUCUGUACUACUGAGUUAUAUCCCCAGUCCUUUGUAUUUGAUUUUGAGACAGGGUCUCACUAAGUUGCCCAGGUUGGUCUUGAACUUGGAAUCCUUCUGCCUCAGCCUCCUGAGUAGCUGGGAUUGCAGAUGUACACUACCAUACCAAGCCAAUAGAUAACCAUUUUAAACAAAUUGGACUAUCCUUCUAUCAUCAAUUUAAAUUAUAUAAUUAUAUAUAAUACACAUGUAUAUGUGUAUGUUAUAAAUAUAUAUACAUUUAUAUAUACACAUAAAAAUACACAUAUAUGUAUUCCCCCUUUCUUUAAUUAUAAUACUCUUAGCAUCCCUUAUUCUACUCUUGUUUUUUCAUUUACCAAUAUAUUUAAUUUCAUUUGACAAUAUAUCCUAGAGUUAACUCUGUAGUGCUACAUAUUUUUAUUUUUUUCCUCAACACUUUAGCACUCCAUUUCAUGGAUGUACCAUAAUUUACCCAACCUGACUCUUACUGUGUACUUUUGAGUGUUUUCAGUCCUUGGUUUUUACAACUAUUACUUCAAUGCAAUGUGCAUCUGUCUUUUUGCAUCUUUAUUCCUCUGUAUCCUUGAGAAAGUGGAAUCAAUGCAUUUCCAGAUCCAAAGGUAAGUAUAGUGGUAGUUUUGCCAAUUAUUGCUAAAUUCCCCUUCAUAAGAGUAUUUCAUAUUUACAUUCCCACCUGUAAUGUAUGCAAUACCUCUUUCCUCUUGCCAAAAAAAAAAAAAAAAGAAUGCUGUUCAAGUUUUGGAGUUGUACUAAUCUACUAGAUAAGAAGUGGUAUCUCAGUGUGGUUUUCAUGUGUUUUUAUCUUAUUUUGAGGAAAGUUGAUCAUAUUUUGUUUUAGUCAGCUUUUUCACCCCUGUGACCAAAAGACCUGAAAAGAAUAAUUUUUAAGGAGGAAAAGUUUAUUUGGAGCUCAUGGUUUCAGUCCAUAGACCUUUGCUCUUGGCCUGAGAUAAGGUAGAACUUCAAGGCAGAAGGGCAUGGUGGAGGAAAGCAGCUCAGGACAUGACAACGAGGAAGCAGAGAGAACUCUGGCUCACAAGGGACAAAAUGUGUACUCUUAAGCAUGCCCCAUCCCACCUCCUCCAGCCACACCUUACCUGUCUAGAGUUACUACCCAAUUAAUCCCUAUCAGAGAAUUAAUGCACUGAUUAGUAGGAUAAACCUCUCAUAAUCCAGUCAUUUCACCUCUAUGCUUUCUUGCAUUGUCUCACACAUGGGCUUUUGGGGACAUCUCCUAUCUAAAACAUAACAUCUUUUUAUAUGAUUAGAAGCCAUUUGUAAUGUGAUCCACAUCUUAAUGAACCACAUAUCACUUCUGUGUUGCAUUGCUCCAUAGAUGUUUAUAUUUUAUCCUCUACUUUUAGAAACUCCUUACAUAUUAGGACAUUAAUAAUUUGAAUGUGAUAUACUGCAGAUAUAUUUUCCAAAUUUGUCAUUUGACAUUUACUUCAUUUUUAAAAGUAGGUGAUGAUGGAAAUCAAAUUACUAUGGAAUUAAAUUCCACUGGACACUUUGAAAAAAGAAUUUAUUAUAAAAUGUAAUAUUUUAUCAUAUAUUUGACUUAUAUUCUUUUCUACUGUUAAAUAUGUGUUUUAAAGAUUUUUUAGGAGAUACAAGAAGAGGUACCUGAGGAAAAUCAUUUGAAGGUUACAGAUCCUCAUGAGUAACUUCUUUAGUUUGGCACCAACAAAAGAGCCUGGGCAGAUAUCAGGAAAGUUUAUAUGACUUUGUAGUCUGAAAGUUGAAGUUCAGACUUUGCUGAGUCACCAUAGGCAGGUUUCUAAACCGAUUUGAGCCUUGAUUUCCUCAUACAUAAUAUAUAAAGAUAUUCAUGUAUCUCCCACAUGGGGUCAUUAUGAAGAUUAAGUUAUAUAAUGUCAAUGUGCCUAAAAUAUACAUAGUAGUCCUUAAAUAUUUUUAUGCAAUGUAAGCUUAAAAAAAUAAAAGACAUAGUUAGCUUUAUCAUACUGUCAGUUAUCCAGGAUCAGAUUAUGUUCCUAUGAAUUUAUGAUUUUUCUGCUUAUUUUUCACAGUCUAAAAAGAAAGACUAAAAAUGCUAAUACAUUUGUAUGGUGAUGUUUAGUAUGUCAUUCGUUUCUUUAAUAAUACCUCCUUUAGGUGGGUAGUGUAUAUCAGUUACUAUGAUAAAUAUAGAUAUUUGGAGAUAAGACAUGAUCCCCACCUGCAAGGAACUAUCAGUGAAAUAGGCUAAUGAGUGAACAAACGUAGCAAAAGCAGUGCUGGUUUUGCUGACAGAAGUAUUUAUACAUUGUUGUGGACGCAUAGAACUCUUAACCUGAGAGAGACAAAGAAAUAAGAUCAAAUCAGAUAUCUUAAAUCAGAUAAAUAAUAUAAAGAAUGAAUAAAAGUAAGUAAGAUGACAAAGGGUGUGGUAGGAAGAGGAAACAGGUGGGCAAAUAUUCAAGAGUUCAGAGCCUGAGAGCUGCUGUACCUUAAGUAUAGCUGGAGCACUAUAUAUACUUGAGAGUGACCAAGGUGGGCCUAGAGAUGAAGUUGGAAACUGGGUCAUGGAGGGAAGUGCAGGUCUUACCAAGGAACUUGAAUUAAUAAUGGAGUGUUGUCAGCAUGAAAGUGUCACCAUCAGACUUGUGUUGUUCACAGAUUACUUUGGCUGCAUUAUGAAGAGUUGAUUGGAAGAAAAAUUACAUAUAAGACUUCUGUGCUCAUUCAUCCAGUUAUUUAACAAGAAUUUAUUGAAGUCCUUCAUAUUCCAGGCCUGUGCUAGACACUGAGAAAUCCUAAAUGAAGGCAUUGUCAAUAUGUUUAGACAAUUUGUUGACAUAGCAGAGAAUGGGUUUGUUGUGUUGGGAGAGGUAUUAUGAAAUCUGGUUUAUGUGUCUAGAUUGUGUUUGAGGAGGAAUUUUCCUGUUCCAACUUGUUUUUAACUAUUUGAAGUACUUUUUUGCAUUUCAAUAAAAGACUAUAUUUGUAAGAAUAUACCUUUAAACUUGCACACCUAGUACACCUUGAUACAAACAAUAUAUCUACAUAAUCAGCAUUUAGUUCAAGAAAUAGAACAUUUCCCUUCAUGUUUCCUUCUAGUCACCAACAUUUCACAAUUUAUAAAAACAUAGAUUUAGGUGUUUUGUGCCGCAGUCUGGCUGGGCACAAAAUCACGAGCCACCACACAGCUUGUAGAUUCAAACAGCAACUCUUUAUUCCCGAACUCACACCAGCCGUCUACAAUCACGUUCUGGGGAAAUCCACGUUCUCUGCCCAAAUCCACCCCCACUGGGCUUCUGUCUCCCCAAAAAUACUGUCUGAAUCCCGUGAGAACUCAAGGGGAACUCAGGCAGCAGGAUACGCCCUAUUCCCAGCAGGAAUAACCUUAAACCUGGAAUGUCCUAAACCGGGAACGCCCUAAACCCCGAUUAUCCUAAACCGGGAACACCCUAAACCCGGAUCCGCCCUGGUCCUUGAGCAAGGUCACCUACAUGCAAUGUCACUGCAAAAUGUCCUAUUUCCACGAGUCCUUCCACUAAGCAACAUGGGGUAUGCUGGCAAGGAAAUUGUCAUACCUACUUGGCUAAUGGCUCCCAGCAGUUUUGUUUUGUUUUGUUUUUGUUCAUUAAAGUUAAGUGGUAUGUAUUCUUUUGUGUCAUCUUCUUUAGUUCAACAUUAUUUUUAUGAUAUUCAUCUAAAUUAAUGUAUGAAUCAUAUUUAUUCAUUCUCAUUGCUGCCUAGUAUUCCAUUAUAUGACUAUAUCAUACUUUAUCAUUCUACUUAGAUGAAUAUGUAUAGUUUCUAAUUUGGGGUUAUUUCAAAGAGACAGUUCCUAGUAGCAUUCAAGUGUAUGUUUUUGAUGCACAUACAUUCCUGGGUCCAUCUAGGAGUGAAAUUAUUAGGUCAUAGAAUAUAUCUAUUCAGUACUACAUGUUUUUUUUCUGGUGCUUUUACUAAUUUGAAUUCAUACUUCAAAUUUUGCUAGUGUUUUAAAUUUUAAUCNGGGUAAGAAAAAUGAGAAAAUAUGAUGAGUCACUAUGAGGAGAUUGUAACAAACUUAUAGCCCUUUCACAUUUUUUUAUCUUGAAUUAUUACUUCUCUAAUAGUUCAAUCUGAAGUGUUUCCUAUCUCUUUUGGAAUUUUAUGUUAUUUAUUGUCUAUGCUAGAGCUUUCCCAACUUUUUCAACUUAAGAGACUUAGGAUUUGGAGAAGUUGAAAGUAAUAAGCUGAGGCUGUAACAACCUCAAACCCACAGGUGGACAUGGGUGCUGAGGGGAUUAAGAUCUUGGCCUAUGAGUAACCCAUUUAUGGCACAACCAUUAGAAAGUUCUACUUUAUAACAUUAAUUUCAAGGUUUUGUUUUUAGGUAUUAUUAUUUAAUGAAUUAACCAGUGCUUCUCAAACUUUGGUAUAUAUCGUAACAUCAUAAGCAAUAUCUAAAAAGCUUGUUAAGCACAAAUUUCUGCAGUCUACUCCCAGAUCUUUGGAUUCAUAAGGUCUGGGAUGAGGUCCAAAAAUUGUGUUUCUAACUGUGAUGCUUAUGCUACUGGUCCAGGAACCACAAAUUUGAGAAACACUGCAUGCACCUUGUAACUCUCAGCACAGAACCUUCGUAUAUGGUUGCAUCUCAAUGGCAUUAAUAGCAUUUAAAGUUUGAAUGUUUAAAUGAGUCAACAGUAGAUGAAAAAAGUCAUAAUUUCAAUUUAUUCUUAAGGAUUUGUAUAGAUAGACACCCAUUGCUCCAUGAAGAUGUCUUUUACUUUUCAAGGUAGAAUUCUCCACCCUUCCUUUAUAUUAUUGCUGAAAUUUAUACAUACAUUCAGUUGUGUACUCACACAUUAUUUUGUAAUUUUUACUUACAAGUAUGUCUAAAAACUUCAUAUUUUUGAGCCAAAUAGGUUUAUAUAGCUUCAAAUGUGAGUUCUUAUACUUAUUGUCUCUAAAACUUAGCAACUUACUUAUAGCUCUUAGUGUGAGUUCCUAGUUUUAAGACUGUGGAUGAUAUUGUGGACCUUGUGAGCAUUAUAUGAGGCUCCAUUGUGGAGCCUCAGUAGAUGAUGGUGCACCUUCUUUUUCACAUACCAGAUUCAUAGUAUUCUACUAAUAAUUGUACCCCAGUGCUUGGUACCAUGAGUUGCACUCAUUUGAUAAAUGAUGAGUCAAUAAGCUAACAAGUCCAAGUACACCUAUGAAUCUUAAUUAUUUCUGGUUUAAUUUUUUAUAACCUCCAGUUUCCUUCAGUUUAUGAAAAAUAUCACUGAGUUCCUGAGGCCAUGUCAGACUAAUUCAGGGACUACCUAAAAACUGCCUGAAUUUGGGGUAGAUUGGUCUCUUCAUAUCCUUUUAACAAGAAGAAGUCAAAGUUUCCUUAAAAUCUAGACAAUUUUACAUUUCUCUUGGACAUGAACGGGCUAAAAUGGGUCCAAGGUCUAUGGAGAAACCAUAGAAUGAGUACAUAAUAAUUUGUCUACACCUAUUUUCCUUAAUGUUAGACCUGCUCCUCACUUAUUGGACUUAUCUUUGCAUAUACUUGAUUCUAAACCAUUCUGAAUGGAUUAGAAAAGUUAGGUACCUGAAAGUGUUUCUUGGGUGCAUUUUUGCUACAUGAUAGAUUGGUGAAAGUUUAAUAUUGAGAACUGAGCAAUAAAAUUUCACCAUCAGUGUAUGUCAGUGGUUCUUAAUCUGAUAGUUUUAUUCCCUAUUCACUACCUCAAUUCCAGGAGAACUGGCAGUGUUUGGAGGUAUUUUGAGUUGUUACAUGUCAAAGCCUGAGAGAGGGCAUUGCUUGCAUCUAUCCAGUCAACAGACAUCACUGAUGUUGCUAAAUGUCCUACAAUGUAGGAGACAGAUCCUUGAUCCAUACCACCAUUAUGAUAAAUAAUUUUCCAAUGACAAACGUCAAUAGUGUGGAGACUGAGAAAUUAUGGUAUAUGUUUUUCUUUUUUAUAAUUUAAUUUUGGAAAUUAAUUAUAAACCAAUGGAAAAGUUCUAAAUAAAAAAGACUUGUUAUAAAGAGCAAAUUUAAAAAAUGGCUAAAUUGAUGCUCUUGAAGACUACACAUAGCAAAGGAAGGUACCAUCUAUUUUAUAAUUCAAUAAAUGACAAGGAGAGUGUACUAUGUAAUUUCACUUCACUUCCCAAGCUUUUAUCUUAGAAAGGAAUUAACAUAGGUAGAUAUUGUAUCUAUGUCCAAAUGAUUGGCUUUAAAAGCAUUUAUAAUGAAAGAUUAUUCUUUUUCUAUUCUUCUCUUUAUUUCCUAUUUGAGCCAAAUGGAAAAAAGUAAAUUUAGUUUGAAAAUGUCUAUAAUGCAGCUUGGCCUUUUAGUGCUGCAAAGAUUUGUCCGUUUCAAAAGAGUCCUUGAGCAUUUCUCAGGAAGGUCAUUUUGUUUUGCUUUAAAAAAUGAAAAUAUGUUGUCUGCAUUGCGUAUAGGCAUAAAAUCAGUUGGUCACAUGACUCUUUUCCCCCUAAGGAGCCAAAAAAGCAGGGAGCUAAUGUGACUGAAUUGUGAAUGCACCACUCUGGUAAUCAAUUAUUUCUAAAACACAGCCAUGCAUGUGUUAUAUUUUAGAAUGGAAAGAGCCCUUUGAGAGAACAUUAGAUAUUCCCUCCUAUUCUGAAGUAGAAGUUGCUUUGUGAAUCUAGCAAAUAAAAAAGAAUUGGAAGUUUAUUUAAAUUGAUCUGUGUGCUUGGAAGCUAUGGAUGAAAUACUGUGAAUCAGCCAUGACUGUAAUGCAUUUGCAGGAAUCGGGUGCUGCUAUCUGCCUGCCUGGUUUCUAUUUGGCACACCACAGAAAGAUCUUUACAGCAUAUCUCUGCUGUCUGCCACUCUUUGUGACUAUAUGGUGAGAGCAAUUUCACACUCUUUUGUCUUUUCUAUGAAAAAAGCAGAAGUGUCUGACUGAACAUUUUAUUCAUAUUUUAAGAUCAUCACAGCAGUGACUUGUUCAAAACAAUGUAGCCAGUGCUUCACGAACAUCCAUUCUUUCCCCUCAUCCCUAUCCUUUCUGGAAUGUUUUCCUUGGGAUGUCUCAGAUCAGGUGAUCCAGAUCCUAUAUUUGGCUCCAUCAUUACCUCAUCAUAUGGGAUUGGACCAAACUCAACUCAAAUGUCUCAAUUUCCUCUUAUAUAAAAUGGGUUAAUAAUGCCUGCUCUUGUUAUCUCACAGAAUUAUUGUGAGCAACUAAUACACAUAGUAAAUAUUUUGACCUCUCUCUGCUCUAAUAUUUCUUUUCCAAUGUCUCUUUCGCAGUCACAUACCUAAUGUCUAUGAGAGUAUCAGUAAACACCACUCCUUAAAUACCUGUUGAAUGAAACAUAAGCUAUUUCAAUUUAAUAAUUCUUUCUGCUAUUCAUAGUAAGGGGCAUUCCAUAUAAACUAAACUUUCAGUGAUUCAAUGAGCCAAAAUGUUAAAAACAUCUUUGAAAAUGAUCUAAAGACAAAAAAAAAAAAAUAGAGCAUCUGAACUUUAAUUCUUAAAGUUACUUUAGUUCAUUGUUUAUAGGGGAAAGUGGUCAUAUAAUAUGGAUUAAGAGCUGGGCCUGGGAAUUAGGCUAUUCUCAGUUGACCACUAAUUCUGAAACUUACCUGUGGCACUGUGUAAGUUUCUUAAAUGAUAUAAACUUCAGUUUAUGUGUGUCUGUGAAAAAUGGAAAACUAAUAAUACAUUGCUUAUUGUAUUAUUCUGAGGGUUAAAUGAGGUAAUUUGUACAAGUGCUUAGCAUGAUUCCUGAUAUGUAGUAAUUAUACAUAUUAGGGUAGGCCUAUCUGUGGUAACAAAUAUGUCCCCCAAAUAAAUACUGAUUUAGCUACAACAAUUUAAGACUUAUAUUCUUAUUUAGGAGGUUGCUUACUUUUAUAUAAUGUUCAGGAAUUCAAUUCCUUUCUUUUAAAGACCCUGCCUUUAUAUCUAAAUUAGCAAAAUAGGAAGAAGAGGAUAGACAGGGCAGUUGGUAGGCAAUUACCAUAUUGCUCCUGCAUUCAUCCAUUGAUGAGAACUUGAAGAAGAAAGAACAAAUGAGAUGGUUGAUGUCUUAAUCUGUUUUGUGAUGCUAUAACAGAAUACCCUUGACAGGGUAAUUAUUGAUGAACAGAUAUUUAUUUCUCGGUUUUUGAGGCUAAGAAGUACAAGAUCAAGGUACCACCACCUGGUGGGGGCUUUCUUGCUGUACCAUUCCAUGCCAGAAAUAAAAGGAAGAGGAGAAUAGAUUAACAUAUCCCUUUAUAAGGAACCCACUCCUGCAAUUUUGAACUCACUUCCAUAAUAAUGGAAUUAAUCCAUUUAUGAGGACAGUGCCUCCAUAACCCAAAUACCUGACUUUGGCUCCACCUUCCAACACCUCUGCAUUGGGAAUCAAGUUUCCAACACAAGAACAUUGGAGAAACAUAUUUAAACCACAGCAGUUAUGAUUACAAGAACCAUACUGGAUUACUAGAUGAAAGGAACAGUAGGCAUUAAAGCUAAAGAUAAAGCAUUUCAAAAUAGACUGGCUAUAGAGAUACUGGUUUCUCUGAUUUUUUUUUUAGAAAGGCACAAAAAUCGUAAGUAGGAUGGAAAGAGAGAAUUAAGGAUUCUGAUUUAGAAUAUUGAAUUAGAUCUCCAGAAGAAUAUCCAUGUGGGAGAGUCUUUCAGGCAAUUAGAGAUAGAAGAUUGAAACUGGGGAUGCUAUGGAGUUCAGAGUGGUUAUUCUUAUAGAACUAUUUGAGCCAAAUGGUUAUAAAUAGUUAUAUCCCUAUGAUUAAAGGCAACUCCUAAAAAGAUGAUUCAUCAAAUUUAACUUGCCUUAUUUAUGUCACAUUUGCCACUACUUUUGCUUAAGUAACAAAAGUGUGAUUAUUACUUUUCAUAGAGUAACUGGACUGUGAAGAUCUUGCGGAUCAUCCCCUUGAACAGAAGUUCAAAGUUGUCCUUAAAUCAGGCCUAGUGAUUAAGUAUGAUAUUAAAUAUACACAUAUAUAUAUUUCAAGAAACAUGUUCUAUAUAUAGAUUAUAUAUAGAAUAUAUAUAUAUAUAUCAAGAUAUAUAUGUGUUCUGUAUAUAGAUUAUCUAUAUAUAGAAGGUAUAUAUCUAUACACAUAUAGAUAUAUAUUAUCUAUAAAGUAGAGAUAAUAAUAACAUCUACCUUAUGGAAUUUUUGUGAAGAUUAACAUACAGUUGUCCCUGGGUGUCUGUUGGGGUAUUGGUUCUAAGACCUUUCGUGAAUACCAAAAUCUUGCAUACAAUCUGAGCACCUUCUCCCAUAUUCUUCAAAUCAUCUCUAAACUACUUGUAAUAGCUAAUACAAUAUAAAGGCCAUAUGAAUAUUUGUUGCACUGUAUGGCUUAAGAACUAAUGGCUCGGAAAGAGCCUGUAUGUGUUCAGUACAGAUGCAAUACUUUUUUAAAAAAUAUUUCUGAUCUGUAGUUAGUUGAAUCCAUGGACAUAGAACCCACAGAUAUGGGAGACCUCAGCUGUAGAUGGUGUAGAUAGAAUAUCUAAGUGCCUAGUACAUGGUAUACUCUCCCAUCUUACUUUCAAAUUAUUGUCAUUGUUACUAUUAUACCCUUAAUUUAAAUAUGCAACACAAAGACCACCCAACCACAGACAGAUUUAAUAGAUGCCCUCAUUUUGCCCUGAGAAGAGUUAUCCUGCACUUAGAGUAUCCAAACUUCAACCUCAACCUCUAAUACGAUACUUUCUAGUCAUCUACAGAAAGGCCAGCUUUCAGAAGAUCUCCUUUUUGUUUAGUGUCCUCUUAGAAAAUAAAAGUAUCUGCCACCCAACCAUACACUGGUUAUAUCCUUGGGAAAAUAUUUGUUUGUUAUUAUGUAGGCCAAAGAUCAGAAAAAACUGCCAAGUAUAUAUUUUCCUUCUGUAUUGUAUUAAAAUAGUAUUUAGGGGUUUAAAAGACUUUUGAGUUCACAAAAGCCAUCUUCUGACUCUUAGACUACUUUAUAUUCAUGUUAUAUUUUCUGCCUUGAAAGCAAUUUAGAAAUACCAACUAAUGCCAUAAAAUUAUGCUACAUUUCUAGGUUAGUUUGUUAGUUGGUUUUGGUUUAUAUUUACUGCUUUCACUUAGAGAUUUUCAUCUAACUUCUAUCCAGUCUUUAAACUUUUAUGUGGUAUUAGUAUGCAAAUACAUUAAAGUUGAGUGAGAUAGAAUAAAAUACAAAUAAGUAGAGAGCGCAUUCAUUUUACAGGUGUAAUGUUAAAGAUGCAAGUCUGGAAAUACUUUAUAAUUAUUUGCUAUGAGUAUAGGGGAAUUUCAUAGUUAGAUUUUUGUUCUCAUUUUUUGCUUAAUGUUAACUACAUUAUCCUGACAGCUGAUAGUAAUCUGGUAUAGGGAAGGUGCUCUUGCCAGGUUAUACACUACUCUAUUUCCUUAGGAAAGAUAUUUGUAAUAUACAAAGUAUUCGGCAGAUUCUUUUUUUCUCUAGCCAAUCUAGAAGGCUUCUUAGUGUAGCAUAUGUCAUUUCUCCAGGUAAGCCAGUCAAUCUCUAUAGGAAUAAAUGAGGAAAGUGUUGCAUGUAGAUCCAGGAGGUUAGAUCCCAUAAGAUUCAUCCUGAAUACAAGGGGAACCUAUCAGAGAUUUUCAGGCACUAAAACGGAACAUUAUCUGAUGUAUACUUUUUGAAGAUUCUUUUUGGAGGUAACAUCAUAAGAAUAAAAAAUAGAAGCAAGACCAAUUAAGAGACUUCUGCAGUACAAGCAACAUACGCAUGAGGAUCUAACAAGGAAAAAUGCUCCUGCACAUACUACCAUUGGUUUUAUACUACUAUUGGUUAGUGCACCCCAGAACUCAAAUUAAGUUACCACAGUGAAUGGUAGAAGUAAGGAAGAUGACAAUGAAGAUGGUAAAAAUAAAUGCAAAAGAGAAUUGGAAAAAUAAUGCAAAAUAGUUAAAAGGACCUGGUAAUAAAUAUAGAUUGAGAGAAGGAGAAAUCAAUGACAGUUUUCUAAUUUUGAGUUUGAAGUUGUGCUUACAGAGAUGGGGAAGAUCCAGGGUUUAAAUGAUUACCUGUAGUCUUACUUCACUACUGGACCAGAGCUCCCCACAGGCAGGUAACACAGCUACUAACAUAGUAUCUGGCACAUAGCAGACCUUCAACACAUCUUUAAAUGAGAAAAGAUAGAGAAUUAUUAUGCGAAAGUAGCAUAAUAUCACUAUCAAAAGAGGAGAGUAUAUAGUGAUGCUCAGAAUCCCUGUAGACACUAAAAUUCCCAGAUGCCUAAGCCCUUAUAUGAAAUGGUGUAGCAUUUGCAUAUAACCCUUCCAAUUUCUCCCAAAUACUCUAAAUCAUCUCUAGAUUGCUUAUAAUGUAAGCUGCUGCUAUAAUAAUAAAUAGUUGCUGCUGCUUUGGGAUAAAUCCAAGCAGCCUAUACACCUGGUUAGUGUCUCUGAAAGAAAGAAAAAGAGGGAAACAAAAAAGUAUGUGAAAGAACAAUGGCCAAAAUUUUCCAAAUUUAGUGAAAACUCCAAACCUACUAGCAUAGAUGCCUAUCAGGAAGUUCAAGGAACUCCAAAACAAAAAAUUUGAAAAUCAUACCAAAGUACAUCAUAAUGAAGAUAAUUAAAACCAGUGAGAAAAAAAGAUAAAAAUAGAGGAGGAAAAGAUACAUUUCACACAGUGGAACAAAGAUAAGAAUGACAUCAGAUUUAUGUUUGUAAACAAUGCAAGCCAAUGGAGCAAUCUGUUUAAGUAUUGUGAGGAAAAAGCAAAACUAGAAUUAUAAACCCAGAAAGAUAAUCUUUCAAAUAAAGGUGAAAUAAUCGUUGUCUUAUGCAUACAACAAUAAAAAAUAAAAAUUCGUUACCAGCACAUCUGAAGUUCUAAGAAUAUUAAAGAUCUUCAGCCAAAGGAAAAUUGUACCAGAGGUAAAUAUGCAUCUACUCAAAGGAGCAAGGAGUCAAUGGAAAUGAUAAAUGCAUAAAUAAAUGCAACUUAAGACAUUUUAAUCUCUGAAAAUAAUUGUUUAAAGCAAAUAUGGCAACAGUGUAUUUGGUGGUUUAUAACAGAUGUAGCAGUAAAAUGUAUGACAGUGAGUCAACUAAGGAGAUAAAAUCUUUUAAAAAAUUAAUUAAUGCAAAAGAAAUGAGACAAAGAAGCAAAGGCAAUUCAAUAGAGAAAAAAAUAGUCUCUUGAGCAAAUGGUGCUGAGAUAAUUGGAUGUCAAAUUGGAUAUAUAUUCAAAAGCAAUGAAAUUUAGCCCAUACCUCUCACCACAUUCAAACAUUAUUUCCAAAGGGAUCAUAGGCAAAUAUAAAAUAGGCAAAUAUAAAAUAAAAUAUAAAAAAAUAAAGCUUGGCUUAGACAAAGAUAUUUUUAUGUAUAACACCAAAAACAAUUCAUAAAAAGAACAGAUCCUAAAUUAGAUAUUUUCAAUAUUAAGGACUUCUUUCUUUAAAAGAGACUGCUAAGAGAAUAAAAAGAUGAUCCAUAGAUUGGGAGUAAAUCUUCAUAAAUCACUUUUCUAAUAAAGGACUUAUAUCCAGAAUAUAUAAAGAAUUUUAAAAAUGUAGUAAUGAGGACACAAUCAACUUUUUCAAAAGUGGGAAAAUGACUUGAAAGCAACUAUUAAAAUCAUCAUAGAGAUGUAAAUAAGCAUAUGAAAAAGUAACUCAAUGUUAUUAGAUAUUGGNACAAUCAACUUUUUCAAAAGUGGGAAAAUGACUUGAAAGCAACUAUUAAAAUCAGCAUAGAGAUGUAAAUAAGCAUAUGAAAAAGUAACUCAAUGUUAUUAGAUAUUGGGGAAGUGCAAAUUACAACUACAAAAAAUGUUAAAUCCCACCAUAUAUACCUAUUAGAAUAGCAGAAAUUAAAGAGACUUUUCCAUACCACAUGUUGACAAGGAUGUGGAAUAACCAGCACUCUUGCACACUGCUAAUGGGAAUAUAAAAUGGUACAGUACUUUGGAAACAGCUUGGCUGAUAUUUGCCUAUCAUGCAGUUCCAUCCUAUCACUUUCAUAAGAAUAAGAAGAAAAUAUCCAUAUAAAAAUUCUAUAUCAAUUUUCAUAGCAUCUGUGUUUGUAAUAGUACAAAAUUGGAAAUAAGCUAAUUGUCUAUCAACAGAUAAAUGAAUAAACAGAUUGUGACAUCUCUAUAUAAUGGAAUUCUACUCACCAAUAAAUAGAACAAAAAAUUGAUACACAGAAACAAUAUGAAUAAAUCUUAAAUACAUUAUACUAAGUGAAAGAGGCCAACAAAACAUUAUAAGUAUUUUAUAAGUCCCUCAAUCUUUCAUGAGAGAAAGCAGAUCUGAGGGUUAGGGUGGGUGGGAGGUUUGAAAGGGCAAGAGAAGAGGUUAUAAAAAGUACCAAGAAAUUUUGGGAGGGAAGAUACAAACAUGUUUAUCAUCUUAAUUGUGGCCAUAUUUUUAUGGGUAUAGUCUUAUGUAAAAAUUUAUCAACUUGUACACUUUAAAUCUGUACCAUUUAUUCUAUGUCACUUAUACCUCAAUAAGGCUGUAAAAAACUUAUUCUAAAGAAAGCAUGAUUAAAAAAGAAAUAACAAACAUAGUGCAGGUUGUGCCCUUCUCAGAGGUGCCCAGUUACAAGAAGAAGUGAGUCUGAAAUUCAGACAUUUGUGCCAUUAGUUGGGAAGAAGUGUAUCUUUUUGUAAUUCAGCCACCUGAAGAAAGAUAGGGUAAUUUGCUUUAAAUGUCAUCUCUGUGUAAGAAGCAGCCUUGUUAUGAUCAUAAUUUAUUAUACUUUACUCUAUUUGAAGAUAAGAAAAAAAAGAAAAGAAAUUGCUGGACUUAAAAGUUUGUGUACACACAAGAAAUCAGAUCACAACUAUUCAUUUGAGUUAAUAAGAAAUAUGAAAAAAAACUAAACAGUUGUGUUCAUAAUGCUUUUAUAAACUACAUAUUUAAAUUUUAAAUAGUAUCUGUUAUAAAAAAUAAGAAAAAUGAACACAUUUACACCUUUCCAACUGUCCUCCAUAUUUUUUGAGCUUUAUCUUUAUGUGAUUAUUUUGACAUCAUCAUCAUCAUAAUUGACAUAAUAAUAAUAUGUCAAUUUAUUGUCAGAAUAAAAAUAGAGAUAACUGUGAAUUAUGAUGAAAGAACUAUAACUAUGGAAGACCUUGAUUUCAAUUUGAAAUGGACUUAGUGCUCACUAUGUCUCCGCUAUCAAACUGCAUUUUGUAAGGAGGUACUGCUAUGAAAUUAAUGUUUAUGCCCUCCUCCCCACAUUCAUAUAUUGAAACCUAAUCCAGAUGUGCUAAUAUUUAGAGGUGGGUUGAUUAAGCCAGGAAGGUAGAUCCCUCUUGCAUGGGAUUAGUGCUCUAAUAAGAAGCUCAGAGAGACCCUUUCUGCUUCUGCCUUGUGAGGACACAUUAAAACCAUGGUCAUUUAUGAACUAGGAAGCAGAAUAUAUUCAGACAUCAUAUUAGCAACUUUAUCUUGGAAUUUUCAAUCUCCCAAACUGUGAAGCAUAAAUUUCGGUGGUUUAUAAAGCACCCAGUCUAUGUAGUUUCUUACAGUGGCCCAAAUUGACCAAGAAAAGGUAUGUUGGACACUUCGUGUACACAUUUCUCACCUGACUAGGUAUAUACUUUUGGGGCCACAUUUUUUUUCUCUUAGGUUUUUGUAAGUAAAACUUUACUUUUUUGGUAUUGAAGGUUUUCUAGAUGCUUAUAUUAUUCACUAUUUGGAAGGAUAUACCAAUAACUUCACUGGAACUUGACAUUACUUCUAUUUUAUAUUCUGGAUCACAAGGUGACUCAUCAAGCAACAAAUUUAAAUUGCUUUUAUUUCAUAAAAGUUUUCUGCUUCCAUGUGUCCUUCUUGUUCUCUUUUCUAGGAAAACCAGUUUUAUAUAUGCUAUUUGUGUCUGCAGCAUUAUUAUAUUUCUCUUCUAUUUCAAUCUAAGGCCUUUUCAGCCUACUUUUUUUUUGUCUAAGUGGUUUUAAAAUAUAUGUUUUUAAUAAUUAUUUCUUUUUAGUGUAGAAACUUCUGAAAAGAGAUCAUUGAAACUAUGGAGAAAUAUUAUUCUGAAUUUUUAUUGAGUUUCUUAGAGCAAUUUAUUUGUGAUGUAGUUUUGUUCUAUUCUUCUCUUUUUUCAAAAAACUUUUUAGCCAGUCCCUGAGUGGUCCCUUUGCCAUUAUUACUCACACUUAAAUUAUAUGUCCUAUUUGCAAAGGAAUAAUAUGAUCCUAAGGCUGGUGUGGAAGAUAAGUUGGGACAGUUUGUUGUUUUGUCAUAAAUAUUCUGUCACCAAUUCUGUUAUUUCCUUUGUCCCAGGGGCAAGUCUUCUCUAAUUUUUGGACAUUCUUGGCAAAUAUUUUUCUGCAGAGGGCCAGAUAAUAAAUAUUUUAGACUUUGAUAGUCAUUCUGUUUCUGUCUCAAUUAUCCAACUCUCCCAUUGUAGCCUACUAUGAAUUGCAUCCCCUUUCUUAGUCUGGUCAGACUGCUAUAACAAAAUACUAUAAGUCACUUAGCUUAUAAAAAACAAAUUUAUUUCUCACACUUCUGGAGACUGAGAUCCCAGAUCAAGGUGCCAGCAGAUUUGGUGUCUUGUGAGGGCUGGCUUUCUGGUUCACAGAUGGUGAUUUUUUGCUGUGUCCUUACAUGGUAGAAUAUACAUGCAGCUUUCUGGGGUCUCUUUUCUAAAGGGACUAAUCCCAUUUAUGAUAAUUCUGCAUUCAUGACCUAAUCAUCUCCCAAAGCCCCCAUUUCCUAAUACUCCCUGUCUUCCUUUUAUGAUAGGGAGCUGCUCACAAGGGGACUCCGGCUUCUCCCACUCUCUCCUGGUACUGAGAGUUCCAGUUAUAGAUCAUCACCAGGCCUUCCACUCUUGUGACACUUAUUUUUGGACAAGGCUGCAUCCUGUUCAGAGCUGGAGAUUUGGGCAUAUUCUCAUCAUUCUCAUUUUGGCAGAACUUUCCAUUGUAAUUGGCUUCUGUGUGUCAUCUGUGGUUUAGGCUUAUGGCCAUAUUCUUAUUUUAUAGGUGAAAGAGUGUUGAAUUUUGUCCCUCCUGAUUUCCAUUAUGUCACUAGACUUUAAGAACUGAAGCAAAUAAAAGUUCCUGUACUUACACAUUUUUGAAAGAAAGACAAACAAAUAAUUCUGAACAGUUGGGAAUGUAUCUGUGUUCCCAGAGCAUAUCUCAGGGCCCUGUCCAGAGCAAAUUUCUGCUGAAUCACUAGUGUUCUUGAUUUUCCCCAUUUUAUAUUUCUCUACUUCCUUUCUCUACACUGGGACUACCAUUACAAAUGCUGACUUCUUUGCAUGUCUGCACCAGCCUCCAGACUUGCUUCUCUGACCUGUCCUUGUUCUUCACAAAUUCAUUCUCUACUUUGCAGCCAAAUGAUCUCAUAUCACACAUCUUGUUUUAAAUUCUUCAGUAGCAGCUCUUUUUUCUUGGAUAAGCUCUAGAGACAAGCACAUAGUAUUCAUUCAGUAAAUAUCUGUGAAAUGAAAGAUUGUAGGAAAUCAGGAGUCUUAGGCCUUGAGAUGGAACAGAGAUAGGUCAUAAAGUUGUAGUAUCCCUUUUGCCAGUUCAUUAAAUCUUCACUUGCUUCAGUUCUUUUGUCUAUAAAUAUGUGCUUAGGGCCAGAAACAAAAAUAAGACAAUGUAUAAAUGUGUUGGUUCAUGUCUGCCAAGAAGCUUAUAUCAAGAUAGGAUAAGAUACACAAGAGAUUCAUUGAGAAAGGGAAGAAGGAAAAGUGAGAAGAGCCUCCAGGCUACAGUGGACAUCUGACAUGAAUGAAAGGAGAGAGGGAUGGAGGAGUCUCAGGCUACAGUGCAGUUCUAAGGAAGGCUUAACCAGACCCAGGACAAGUCCUGGAGUCAAAACCAUCCAUAAGAGGUGAGGUGAAUGGGAUCUGUAUUGGUAUACACCAUCCCCUCCUUGACGCUCCCACUGAUGUGAGCAGCCUAUGGAAGUAUGGCUUUUUUAUUAAAAGGGUGAUGGACCAAGACAGGCAAAUACUUCCCACAGUAGAAGAUCUGAGCAGUGCUGGAUGUGGUGGCAUAUGCCUAUAAUCCCAGCAAUCGGUAGACUAAGGCAGGAGGAUCACAAGUUGGAGGCCAACCUCAGCAACUUAGUGAAGCUCUAAGUGAGACCCUGUCUCACAAUAAAAAAUAAAAAGGACUGGGAAUGUAGCUCAACAGUAAAGCUUCUCUGGGUUGAAUCCCCAGUACAAAAGAAAAUGAGGAAGAGGAAAACGAAGAGGAAGGGGAAGGAAAGAGGGUGAGGAGGGGGAAGAACUGAGCAGUACAUUUUGCAAAGACCCUUAGAGUUAUGAGAUGAUGAGACAAUAAGCAUAAGAAAAAAAAUCAUCUUUCAACUACACAAUGGCUGUCUAUUUAGCUUGUGAGCUUCACAUCAUAGACCCAUCACCCUUGCUUUUUAAGUCUCUUUUUCCUGCUACAUUCCUUUUAUCCAUCUCACUCAGAACUUUUAUGUAGAGGUUGGCAGGAACAGAGAAGCAGAACUUCAGACCAUUCCUUUCAGCUGUUGGGCUUUUAGGAGGACCCAACCCCCAUCCUCCAACCAUCACCACAACCUUUUAUAUUUUAUCUUUCCAUUUCUGAGGAAUAAUUUUCUCUUCUUAAAAUGGUAGCAUGCAGCAGUGUUUAUGCAACUGUUUUGUUACAGAUGAUGUGAAAUUACAUUUGGGUCAGUAAGUUUUAAGGUCCUACAUCUCUAUUAACAGAUAAAAGCAGUGAUACUAUAUUAUUAUUAUCUCCUGUACUUCAUCUCUUAUUGAUAUUUACUUAAACAAUUGACUAUUCUGUGGCUUUCAAAUUAAAAAUGAAGGGAUAAAAACCCCAAAUCACCAUUGUUUCCUCCAUACUUAAAAUAAAAAAAUGUUCUUAAGGAUCAUUUUUAAUUUUUUUAAGUCCUUAGGAUUUAUCCAGGAAGUUCCUUGAGUGGGGUCCAGAAAGAGGUGUGGCCAUCCAUUUCUGACAUUUUCCAGGGCUGUGUCAGAAAUUAUUCUGUUGGCCGAUGUUCAGCUGAAUGAGUCAAGGCCUUAGAGGCAUUGGCUUAUGAGGCAGGAUUUUGGUAGGAUUUUUUAAAACUGCACUACUCCUAUAAAGAAAAUGAAGCUUUAAAUAAAACAUGCUACUUUAAUCUUAUAUAAUCUUGAAAGCUGGAAGUACUAGGCUAUUAAAAACAAGCCUGAAGGCCAAAGCAAAUAUGGCUAUGAAACAGGCAAACUCUCGGGGAUGUUACCCAAGGAGGAUCACAAAGUGCUAACAGCUAAACCAAACUCUUGAUCUUGAUCUCUUUUAAAUAGACCUAACAGGUAAAGCGUAUGACUACUUAGGGACAAAAUUGGGAUGUGACAGAAUGACUCUUUCCCAAAACUUCUUUAAUGUUAGGCAAUAUAUUUUAGAGUUACAGAUGAAACUAAAAACAGUAGCUAAAAAGAAGGACAUUUUUAUAUAAAUAUACACAUGUGUUUCAGACUAUGCAUUUACUCAGACUGAAUUAAAAAAUCUGUGUUCGGUCUACUGCUAGAUUCAAUAGAUGGGAGAUAGUACACAAUUUUUAAAAUUUAAUCUUUACAUUUAUGUGAGGUCUAUAUUACUAUCUCCCUUUUAUACAUAAGUCUUAGCCAAGUGAAGAAUACUCAUGUAACUAGUAAGAGUUGUAAUCAAGACUCAACCUCAAUGUGUCAAACUAAGAACGCAGGUUUUUUUUUAGUACAAGUUGGCUAUUCUUUAUCUUAAAUGCCUAGAAUCAGAAGUGUCUUGGAUUUUGUAGUUUUUCAUAUUUAAGAUUAUUUGUAUAUAAAUAAUGAUAUAUCUUAGGGAUGUAACUGAAGUCUAACACAAAGUCCUUUUAUAUUUUAUAGGCACCUUAACUAUAUAUAUAUCUUAACAGUAAUUUUAUAUAAUAUUCUGGAAAUUUUUGUUCAUGAAACAAAAUUCAUGGUGCGGAAUUGUCCACUGACCAGACCAGCAUCAUGUCAGUGCUCAAGAUGUUUCAGAUCUUGGAGCAUUUCAGAUCUUUGUAUUGGGGAUGUUCAGCCUGUAUACCACAAUGGCUUAAAAGAAAUAGAGAUGAAUUGUCAUUUCUUCACAUUUACUUGAAGAGAGAAGAUACAUUUGUGAAUUAACUAGAGAAUAAUUUGUGGAGAUAUAUGUGAGACUAUAUUCUGAGCACUACAGGAGUACAGAAGUUGCUUUACAAACAGAAAACUCUUUUCUCCUAUGCUCCUCUCUAGCUCCAGGACCCCCUUACACCUGUCUUUCAUAUCCUAAGAGAAUUGAACCCCAACUAUCAGCUGUCCACCACAGCCAGACUGUCAAUAUCCACACCCUCCUUAUUUUCUCCAGUUGGCUCUUCUCUCUGGGACCCACUCUUAGAGCCUCCUGUGGGUCUGUGUUUCCUGGAAUCUGCAACUAUGGUCUUCACAAGUUCUUUUCCCUUGGUCUGUGAAUAUAUUGAAAUCUCGUCUAAUUUUAAAAAGUGCUUCAUCAAAUUACCUCCUAAGACUAGAAGUUUGGCUUCCUUCAACUUUUCUGAGUUUCUUGAGAUUAUAUUACUUUAUUUAUUCCUUUUUUCUAUUCUAAUUGCUAUCCCCUGGUUCUGGCCAAGGUCACUUCAUAAUUACCAACUUUAGAGUUGCCAUUUUCAGCCCUUUGCUAUUAAUCUACUUCUGCUGAUUAAAAUCUUCCCUCUUCUAAUAUAUAUAUUCCUUUUCUUCUCUGGCUGCUUUUUCUUAGUCAUCCUUUCAUCUUUUCAUCCUCAUAAAUACCAGCUGCCCAGAUUUUUGCCUUUACCUUUCUUUUUCUUAGCAAAAUCGCUUUUUCUGAACAACCUGAUACUUGUUCAAAGUUGGAAUUAUUGAUAGUCUGUACUCAUUCAGUCCAGACCACUUUACUGAGCUCUAGCUUCUUUAUACAGUCCCAGCUGGUGUCCCACAGACACUUCAAACUCAAGGUGUCCAAAAACAAAAUUCCCUUCCACACCUCUCCUAUCACUCAUCUUCAUCAAUGUGACACUGCCACAAACCAGGUAGCCCAGACCUGGAAACUAUUCAAGACACUCCCUCUCACACUUGCUUCCUCUCUUUGCUUUUAAUCAGUCCCUUGUAAAUAUGACUCAUACCUGUCCGUCCUCACAGUCUAGUACCAGCCCUAUGUUUUACCUAGUCAUGGUCCAUUGUAACAGUCCCCUGGAUUGUAUCCAGUUUCUUCACCCUAUCCACAGUCUACCCCUUGUGGUGGCUCCAGAUUUGCCAUUAUAAAACCUGCAUUUUAGAGUCUUCAUUACCCAUAAAAGUCAUUCUCAACUCCUAAAUGUAGUAUGCAAACUCUUUCAUGAUCUAGCCCAAUCCUAUCCUUCUAAACACAUCACUCUCUACUCUUCUCCAAAACUGAUAUUGUAGCAACAUCAGAAUCCCUUCAUUUCUCUAGACACCCCUGCUUUCUUCUGCCCCUCAUACACAUUGCUCCUCCUCCUUGAAAUUCCCCUCUUACUCUUCCUAUGAGCCUAUUACUCUUUAUAAAACAUCUCUGAUUUUCUCUAUGAGAUCCACCACUCGUUCCUCUUUGGAAAUCAGUAUGUUUUAUGUACACCUUUGUUCCUAUACUUGUUCUGUAGUAUUAUAAACUUUGUGUUGUUGGUGGCAGAGGGUUGUCUUCUGCCUUAUCCUGGAAUUUUAUUCAGGGAAUAAGAACUCAGUUUCAUUCUAAGAUAGCCAGGUUUUCAAUUGCACAUACAAACUAUUUAACCAUCAUCUUUAUUCUUAAAUGUUAACUGAACUUAUUAUCUAAGUCAGGUAACUCCAUAUUGUAAUAAAUCUGCAAUUAAUUGCUUUCUAAUAGUGUUAUGUGUAUAUGUCUUAUCUAUCCUUCUAGAUUAUCAAAGUUUGGUGUUUUACCCACAAAAUUAUCCUAGAAUGGAUCAGGUGUUUCUUAAAGCUAGAUAGUAAAGUCCAAGAUGGUGGAAAUGCUUUUUAUUUGGGUCUUGAUCUGAUUACUUGUCUAGGAAAUCCCUAUUUCAAUCAUGAAACAAAAUACUCUUUUAUGAUUAUUAAAGAAUUAUGAGCUAAAGAAAUGGGAAUCUGAACUAAUUAACUAAAAAAUCAAACAUUUUCUGUUUGUUCAGAUUAGUUCAGAUUCCCGUUUCUUUAUUUCUCACAAAUUAACCCUUUGGCUUUAUAUUCAGAGCUUUUGUUUGUCAAAAGCAUCUCAGAGCAUAAUAUUUUUUUAAUUACUGUCUGGCAAAUGCUUGUGUGCAUUUAGUCAUUAAUUUUUAAUUUUUCAAAGUCUAGUGAAAAUACAUGUGGUAUGUGUUAUACUCUUGCAUGGAUUCUUCCAGAUAAGUAUAUAUUUCAGAGUAAAACAGAAAUAAUUUUUUGGCUGGGGUGAAUGAGAGUCAGAGCACAGCCCAAGUCAUAUGUCCAUAUUGGAGCGGGACACUGAGUACAGGAUCUAAAGAGAGGAGCACAAAAAUGUCUGAGCAAGAGGGAACAGUGAAACCUGUAGUUCAGAUUCAUGAUUGGAAAAGGACUGUCCAAAAAUGAAAGGGCAUCUGGAAACCCGGAUUCCUGUCUGGCUGUCUCAGCAGCACCAUCAUCAGCUGCUGGCUGUCACACAGGGUUCUAGCAAACCCUGCCUUGAAUGGAAGGAUUGACCAUUUAUUGGCCUAGAGUGAAUAUAGUUGUACAAAAGAAUGGAAGUUCUUAAGUCUUUUUGAGGUGUUGCACUUCUGUAAAACUUACUUAAAGUAUUUGUCCAGAUGCAAAAUGCCUGGGAUCAUUGUUUUAGAAUGAAUUUUAUUCACUAAACUUGACCCAGGAAACUUCUAUAAUCAGUUCUGUUAUUAAGAAACUUCUUUUUCAUUUGAUGUAUUCCUUUCUUCAUUUAUUCAUUCUUGAGACUUGGCACAACUCUUACAUAGAACAUACACAGAAGGAUAGAAAACAAGUGGCCUCUUCAUGUAAACUAAUCAAGAAGGAAGUGAAGCCACCCAAAUGUGGUCUAUGCCAUCUGUGACAAAUAGCAAAACUACGGCCACAGUUUUUUCCUUAACUGUUAACAGUAAAAUAUAAAAUCCUUUUUAUUAGUACCAGAUGUGAAGAAUGCUUAUUAAAAUGCCAUGGCUUAUUAAAUAACAUCACUUCAGACUCACUGAACUAAUAAAGAUUAGGUAUUUUUGCAUUAAAUGUCUGAAAUUAUGUAUUACACACUUCUAUUUCAAAUAUUUGAAUACUAAUAUACACAUACCAAAAUUUAUAUUUAGAAACAGAGAUUUAUACAUCAAGGGCUAAACUGAAAAAUGCUUAUAACCACAAAAGUAGGUUUCAUAUGCCUCUUAUGUUUAAGGUUUCUUGAGGUUUUUAUAUGGCACUGGAAAUAAGUGUUACAUACGUUAGAUUUAUAGGAAAAAGAGUAGAUUUUAAAUUAUAUAAUAUAUUCUAUAAUUUUUAGAAUAUUUUUCCUUGGCUUUCAUGGCAUAAUUAUUUGAGGAAGUCUGUGUUCUUUCCCUUCUCUCCCCUCCUUCCCACUGUCUAAUAUUUUCUCAAAACUAGUUGGGAAAGGAUAGCUUUAACAGCUAGACAGGAACCACUAUAGAGAAUUUUUUCAUAAAUAAAAAGAUUUUGUGUACUUCUCAUCAUGGCUAUGAUCAAAAUAUUUCAAAUUCAAAUUUAAAGUCAAUAAUGAGAAUUCAGUAAGAUAAAUAAAACAUCAUAUUUUUUAUCACUUCAUUAACUGAUAAUUUGGUUGAAACUCUUAAAAUUAUUAGAGAUUAUAAUGCUUUGAAAUAUUUCUUCCCCAUUUUUACCUAUAAUAUGUACUCAAUAUACUAGACAGGUAAUGGAGAGAGAUUUAGGAAAAGGUUUUACUUUUUCUGUUUGAGAUAUUUUUCACCUACAACAGUCAGUCUUAACUUACUUGGACCAAAGUCAGUGUGUAACAUUUACAGACCUUACAUUGUCCAAGGAAACAAAUUUCCAGUGGUAAUCUGGUGAUCAACCUUUUCCACUCAUUUCUACUUAGGCAUUAUUCAGUAAUAUUUAAAUUAGGGCCACUACUAAAUAUAAUCUAUUGAGUUUGAAAUCAACAGGUGGGUUCUGGAUAAAGUAAAGGGCACAUAGUAAAAUGACUUACAUGUUUACCUAUGAUUUUAUUUACUUUAGAAGUAUAUUUGACACUUGGUUUUCAAGGUUUAUAUGAGGGCAUUGAGAACAAAUGAGUCUUUUGUGUUUCAAAGCAGCAGGUGUUGAAAUAGCUUUCUAUUUGACUACUACUAUAGUAGGUAAAGUAUUUAUUACAUGUCCUAGUCUACCAAUAAAAAGUUAUCUGGGUGCUUUCAUGGUUAUCUAACAUAGUUACAUAUUUUAGUCUAGCAUAUUUGGAUAAGUAGGCAAAGGAUACAUGUUUGAAUAAAUCUAUUACCAAAAGCAAUUGUUUUAAAUCUAGCCCUAUCAUAGAACAAAUACCUAAAAUAUUUUUUAUCAUUAAAGUAUGUAUUAACAUGGAUUUAUAAUUACUAUGACUUUAGAAGCACUAGAAAAUUUACCACCUUCUGGGGAAUCUCACCAAAUGAGGCAAGUGACUCUAAUACUACUAAUCAAGAAAGAAACAAAGUCACCCAAAUGUGGUCUCUACCAUCUGUGGUCUGUGAUAAGUAUUAAAACCCACAAUCAUGAUUUUUCUAUGAGACUAUCCAUGAGCUAAUUCUAACAAUUUUUCAUGAAUUGCCCAUGAGAUAAUUCUAGCAAUUCUAGAGUUCCCAAAUCUCCAAUUUGGGUACUUAUCUGCUCCCAGACAACUGUACAACAGAAAGAACAGUUGAAGCACUCAGCAAAUGUUUAUUUCUAUACAUUUCUAUACCAACUAAGCACUCAACAAAUAUUUAUUUAAUAAAAUAUCUAUGUUUCAACAUAUGGGGUUGCCUUAGAUUGUGCAUCUCGUGAUUUUUUUUCCUCAGGGAUCUUUUAUUUUGUAAUUAUGAUAAAAUACACAUAACACAAAAUUUAUCAUCUUAACCAUUUUUAAGUACAGUGAUAUUAAUCCAACUACAUCAUUGUGCAACCAUCAACACCAUCCACUCAAGAAUUUUCAUUUUCCAAAACUGAAACUCUGUACUCAUUGAACAAUAAUUUCCCAUUACUUCCUCUCCCUAGUCCCUGGGAUCUAGUAAUUUUAAGUAAAAAUUAUCAUAUUAAAAUAUUGUCAUAUAUUCAUAAAAUACAUGUUCACCAUCACACUUAUGAAUUUUUAGAUUAACAUGUUAUAGACAAUGCAUAUUUUAUAUUUGUUCUUUUCUUCAAUAAUUUUCGUAGGAAAUGAGAGCUCCUAUGCCUCUGCUUCUCAUUUUACAAACAAUUUAAAUGGUUACAUGCAUCAGGGGCUCAUUUUCAAAUAUUUUCAACAUCUUUAUACUUCAGUAAUAUUUUUCAUUAUUCAAGGACACUGACUUUUGUUGCUUUAAUUUAGCAAAAAAUUGCUACUUUUUUCAAAUGACACUUCACAUUUACAAUGUUCAGACUUUUAAAUAUGUUUAAACAUCAUCCCACAUUUUUCUCCAAGUUGUAUCUUUUCUUUAUGUUUCUAGAGUUCACUGUAAUCUCAUGAACGUGUACCUUUUAUGGAAUAUUUAUAUUUAAGACAAAAUAAUACUUGACCAUACUUUUGUCAAAUGCUCUGUUUUAUCUGAGAAUCCCUGGUUCACUUGGGUUGCAUUGAUUUAUGUUUGGAGUCAAAUAAUCUGACCCUUCAUUCUUGUAUCAAGGGAAAUUAUUAUUAUUAUUAUUAUUAUUAUUAUUAUUAUUAUUAUUAUUAAUGUAUGAGUAACUCUAUUAGUACUCUAUCUCAAGGUAUGGUCAAAGAAGCCUAUUUAUUAUAUUUUACUUCCUCUUCAAACCCUCAGGCUGAAAUUUCUCUGUAGCAAUUCCUCUUAACUCCUAAGUGAGAAUUUUUUAAACAGCUGAACAUGAAUAAUUCUACCAGGUUAUUUCUAUGUUUAUAUGCUUAUUAAAACAUUGCUGAAUUAAGAAAAAUAAUUCUUAAUAUUAUAUUACAUUCAGGUAACACAACUUAUUUUGCUUUCUAAUUUUACCCUACUUGUUAUUCCAGGUCAACUAGUCAUUAAAUAAAUUUGCUUCCAGCCCAAGUCAGAACCAUUUUAUUGGUUGCAUAGGGUUCACUCUAGAGCAGAAAAUAGGCAUUUACUUAAUAUUAUUUGAGAAAUCUUUCCCCUCCUGUGUGUCACAGUGUCUGGAGGCUUGCCAUUGAAGGUUCGUUUCUUGUGUUUAUCGUCAGAUGGUAGGUACCCCUUAAUGUUUGAAUAUCCAUGGGAAGAGAGACUCUUCUCAUUGUCAGUCACCAACAGUUUUAUGAAUUUGCUAUUACCCCAGGGCAAGUAUGAACAGAGAAAUAAGGGAAGGUGGGGAGAGGAAGAGAGAUAGAGAUACAGAUAGAGAUAAAUAGAUAAUAGAAAAAGGGUUGGUAGAACAAAACUUUAUGUCAGUAUUUUGCCUCUUUCAUUCCAAAUUCCCAUAGAGUAUUAUAUACCUGAUACUUUGAAAAAAUAAAGUGUAACCCUCUGUUUUUCAGAAUUUCUUUCAGAAUAAUCAACAAAUAUUUACUUUAUGCUUCCUCUGUGAUACUCAUGGGUGUCAUUAUAUAUCACAUGAAUUAUUGUAUUUACUCCUCUUCAAGAAACUCUAUUUUACCGAUGAGGAAAUAAGACAAAGAAAUUUGGUAACUUUCUUGAGGUCAUGCAGAUAGUAGCUGUCUUUCUGAUUGCUAAACUUAGGAUCCUAACCUCUGCAGUGUUGAUUUUUAGGGUCAUGGGGGACUAUUGAAGGGUCUUUUUUAAAAAAAAUUUAUUUGUUCUUUUUAGUUAUACAUAACAGUAGAAUGUAUUUUGACACAUCAUACCUACAUGGAGUAUAACUUCCCAUUCUUGUGGUUGUACCUAAUGUGGAGUUAUACAUGGUCAUGUAUUCAUACAUGAACACAGAAAGUUAUGUCUGAUUCAUUCUACUGUCUUUCCCAUCACUCCUAUUUCCCCCACUUCCCCCAUUCAAUUCAGUGACACUCUGCUGCUUCCUCCCUACUACCUAUUGUGAGUCAGCAUCCACAUAUCAGAGAAAACAUUCUACCUUUGUUUUUUUGGGAUUGGCUUAUUUCACUUAGCAUGAUAGUUUUAAGUUCCAUCCACUUACCAUCAAAUGAUGUAAUUUCAUUCUUCUUGAAGGGUAUUAAGACAAUUAAUGUAAUCACAUUGUUUUUAGAAAGAUUAAACUGUGAAUAAGAAAAAUAAGGCUGGAGUCAGACUAGGAAGUUAGGAAGCUGAGUUACCUAGGUAAGUUAGGAACCUGAGUUACCUAUGUUGUCCAGGAGGUGUAAGUAAGAAUGAAAAGUGAUGGAUUGACUAAAGUAAGAUUUGGGAGUAGACAACAACAGGAUUUAGUGAGAAUAGGAAGAGAAAUAAAGGAUGAGCUCUGGAUUCCUGAUUUGAAUAGUGAUGCCAUUCAUUAAGAAAGGAACAUAGAAAGAGGAUCAGUUUAGAUCUGGAAGUGUCUGGCCAAGAGAGUGGAGAGGAGGUUGUAGGAAGGCAGCAGAGGAUUCUGAAUUUUGAACACAUGGAGUUUAAGGUGUCUACUAAAGCAUGUGUAAAUCAGAUUGCCACUCAGCACUUGGCUCCAUUGACCUGGAGCUCAAGGCAAGAAUCCAGGUUGGAGAUAUAAAUCUGAAGGUUAUCAGAAUAUGAACGGAAAGUAAAUGAUGUCACUAUGGAAGAACCUACAAACUAAGGAGAGAAAGCCCAACUUCAAUCCCCGAUGAAACAAAAUAAUACUAAAGUAAAUGAACUUAACCUGUAAGGAGGACAAAGGCACAGGGCAGCAAACCAGUAAAAUGAUAAGGAAUAGUCAGAGGGUAGAAAAGACUGUAGGGACAGAGCGGGAGAACAGAGGGCAGAAGGAUCAUCUUCUGAUGAUGUACUUUGUAUACAAUCAGAUAUGAAAAAUUGUGCUCUAUAUGUGUAAUGUGAAUUGUAAUGCAUUCUGCUGUCAUAUGUAACAAAUUGGAAUAAAAAAAAAGAAGGGAGGAGCGGUCAGCUGCAUUAGCUGCUGUGUUAUUGGGGGAUCAAGUGAGGCAGAGACUGGAUUUAGCACUAAGGAGAUUCCUGGUGAUUUGAGGGCAGUAGAAUAAUCGAUAGAAACUGGAAUUGAGUCUUCUCUGUUAGUAAGUAGAUUCAAAUCUUUACUUAAGUCAGAGAAAAAUAACUUGAUUCAUCUUCCCCAUCAGUAAGUAUUAUAAUUACUUUUAUAAUUCCAAAUGAGUUGUGUAGUCCCUCAAAUAAUUCAAUUUUAAUGCUUCAUUUGGCACUUUAUUUUUAUUUCUGGAGGCCCUUUGAUUCUGAUUUUAUAAUCUGACUCUUGUUUUGAGCCUGAUGAUGAUAUUCUUGACAAAAUGGUAUAAUUUUGAGAUAUUAAGAGAGUCAUGAUUUUUUACAGGUGCUCUCUGACAAACGAAGCAAAGAAAGAGCAGGUAAGUCUCCUUGAUCAGCUGUGUUUUACUGUUUAUUGAUAGAAAAUGUUUGAAGAGUUUUGUCUAAUUCCUGUAAGUUUAAGCAUGCCAUAAGUAUUCUGAAUCAUUGAUAGAAAGUCGAUGGUCACUGUGUGAUGUUAAAUCAGAAUAUGUUAUACAUCUUGGAGACUGAAUUAACUCACUUUGUUCUUUCAUAAUCCUCAUGCCAUUAUUUUGUAUGUUUAUCCCCAUUUGGUAAGGUUGAUUUCAUACAGAGAAAACUUGUUUUGCAUAAGUAGUCUUUAUCUUAAAAUGCAUGCUAUAAAUUCAAUAAGAAUUAAAUAGAAAGUUAUAUCUGUACUGAAAAAUCCGCUUAGAAGAGAAGUGAUUUUGAGAAAAUAGUACGUAUGAGGCCACCAUCUCCAAUGUCUUUGAGUUUGGAGAUGUUUUGUGUAAGUCCAGCUAUUUUCUAUCUUAAUUUAUUGAUUUUUUAUUUUAGUGACUUUGUAAAGUAAGAGCUAAUGACUACCUGAAUCAGCUACUUACCGCCCUUCAGCAUCUGUCUUUUACUCUUGGCUUCUUCAUUGUGGAUGCAACAUUGAAAUCUCCUCCUAUUCAUUGUGGAUACAACAUGAAAUCUCCUCAUCAGUCCUUAGGUCAUAUUGGCAUUUACAUACUUAAACAUGGGAAAGAGCCACCUCAAAAUCCUUUUCCUUCAUAUUGGUAGAAUUACAUGUUUCUGAACUGCUUCAAUAUGAAAAUUAAAACUUCUUUUCUCUUGAGUUUUUAUCAUUAAAGCCUGAUUUUGAAAUAAUCUUGUCAAAUAAUGCCUCUAAAAAUAACAGUCUAAUGCUGCCUUCAUCUACAUUGUUAAUCAUCAUUAUUUCCAUUUUUAUAUAUUCAUUUUUCUAUCAUCUGUUAGGAACCAAUUUUAGUUCAUUAUUCAAAAACUCAAGAUCUUAGCUUUAGUGCCUAUUAAUAUUACCACUGGAUCUCUGGGAUAUAUAAUAAUUACUUAUCUAUGGUUUUGGAGUCUAGAGUUAUAGUUACCUGAGGUCAGCCUUGGUCUGAAAACAUUAAAUGGAAAAUUCCAGAAAAAAAAUUCCAUAAAUUUUAAAUCAUAUGCAGUUCUGAGUAGUAUGAUGAAAUCUGUAUUUCCCACUACAUCCUGCUCAAGUGUGGAUUUUUCCCUUUCUUCUCCAUCCACACUAUCUGUGCUACCCUCCUACUACUUACUUACUAGCUUGUCAGCAGAUUGAUUGUUGUGAUAUCACAGUGAUCAUGUUCAAGUAACCUGUAUUUUGCUUAAUAAUGGCCCCAAAGCACAAGAAUAAUGAUACUAGAAAUUUUCUUGUAGUAUAAUGCAUUAAUAGUUCUAUUAGUACUUACUGCCAAUCUCUCACUGUGUCUAAAUGAUAAGUUAAGCUUUAUCAUGUUCAUGUAUGUAAAGGAAAAAGGCAUAGUAUAUGUAGGAUUUGGCGCUACCCACAGUUUCAAGCACCCACUGUGGUUCUUGGAACAUGUCACCCCUGAAUAAGGGGGACUGCUAUCCUUCCAGCUCCUGGAAAGAUUUGCAAGAAGAACUUUUCAGUAGACCAUGGGCUAUAGUGACUAGAUGGAACGUUGUUAUGAAGUGAUGAAGUGUUUUCAGGGAGUAUGCUGAGCCUAGCAGCCGUCUCACUAAAAUUAUCAAUCAGAAUUUGUUCCUCCUGUUCUAUGAAAUGCUUGUAGCAUCAAACAUGCACACUUUUAUCUAUGUCUACAUUUAUGCUUGGAACUUUAACUAUAUUUAACUUUCAACCACCUGACAUCUAAAAGGGAAAUAAGCAAAGCCCUCUUAAAAUUGUACAAAUGUGUCCAAAUAGUAAAUUAUACCAAGUAGAACCCUUUGUGCCUCAUGUCUCUUAUUGAGAUUCCAACCUGAAUCCAAGGAGUUGAUGAUACAUUUGCCUCAGCAAAGAAUGUGCUUCACUCCAGAAAUGACCUAAUUAGGACUUUUCACAAGUGAGAAGCCUGUGAAACCCUUAGACAAAUAAAAUGUUUCUUCUGGAGAUUUGACAAUUGGAGUGAAAGAGAUCUAUUGUCUUCAUAUCAUAAACAUGUCCAGCUUAUAUCUGAAGAAUAGUUUUGGUCCAAUAAAAUCUAUUGUUGAGAAAUUGGUAAACAAG